UGAUGUAACCUCAUUAUGA
RNAcentral lists this small nuclear RNA (19 nucleotides) under Arabidopsis thaliana (thale cress). RNAcentral's name for it is "snRNA_18268". Lineage: Eukaryota; Viridiplantae; Streptophyta; Magnoliopsida; Brassicales; Brassicaceae. The record is from RNAcentral.